UCUGGCCUUGUGUCCCUCUACAAUCGAACACAGGACUAUAUUGCUCAUAACAGUAAACCUUAGGUUACUAUCUAUCAAAUGUGUUAUACAACAACCCAUGCGAGGAAGCGGCUUUUACACAAGUUGCUAGUAUUGCUCGAUGGGAUUUACACCAUAAAAGAUCACAGGGCAAGACAUUCUCUUGGAUUUGGCUGUCAUAUUUGGCUCCUCAGUAGAUUCUUAGGUGUGUUGAGCUGCUGGACAAUUAAGUUUAAUCAAGGUAGGCAGAGGAAGUGUAUCUGAUAUUCAUGCUAUCAUCCUACCAGAAAAUGCUUGUGGCUCAAUAUACCCAUAAUGGAAGGACAACUGAGGUUCAAGUUGCUACCCCAUUGGAAAUUUCUGUUCCUAGCUUAAAAGAAUGCUUUUCUUCACAUGGAUUACUCUGUUUUUGGAUCCAGUGACAAAAGCACCACUGAAUUGGAUUUGUAAUGUAUGAAGUGCAGGAAGUGCAGCUCGGCUCUUAAAGCUUUUGUAUUCUGGUUUUCUUCAAGAGAAUUUUUAGAACAUGUUAUUUUAAUCAAGAGAUUUAAAACUACAAGUAUAAUGUUUGAGGUGUUGCUUGGAAGAUUGACAAUUGCGAAGCUUCAUCCUUUGUUGUAUACUAUAUUGUGUGAGUCUGCACACAAAUUGGUCUUCUAUUAACCUCAGUAUUGCCUAAUCUGUUUUCAGAUUCAGUAGACUGGCUUGUGUCUGGAACAUAUGAACAUAAGUGUUCUACAGUUGCUGCAGACUUAGCAACUCCAAAGAAUGAGCGGGAAUCUACUGCCACUGCUGCAAUGGCCUUAGCCCAUGACUACAACAGAAGACUGAUUUUACUAUGAAUACCAUGAGAUCUGCUGCCAACCUGUCUUUUCCUGUUAUGAACAUUGGCUACCAACAUGAUACAGAAUCAACAAGCAACAAGGCAGAUCCUGAAAAAUAGGACCUGGACAUGGCAAAAACCAAAGAUCAAACAAGUUGGCUGGAAUUGUUUGAAUGGGCUAUCACUCAUCUCAAAGGCAAUAGCUCUAAAGCAGCUAUUUGAAAAUUGGCUUGGUGGGCUGCUGUGUAUUAUCUAUGGCAGAAGAGCUGUAAUCCACUCAAGGAAGAUAAACAUAGGAGCAGAUAGUUAAGGAUAUUUAGAGGGAUAUCAAAGGCAGAGUGGAGAGCAAAAGUAGAGCAAUUGACUCAGUGCCUAACAGAAUAUUGUGUUGCAAAUGGGGCAUUAACCCUGCUUUUCUGUGUAAAAGGCCAUGUUAGGCUGUCUGUGUUUGCUGCUGUGUAUCUAUUA
Quercus lobata is the source of this 1309-nucleotide long non-coding RNA. RefSeq lists it as uncharacterized. The record is from RefSeq and is a predicted model, not a curated record. The transcript has 5 exons. Lineage: Eukaryota; Viridiplantae; Streptophyta; Magnoliopsida; Fagales; Fagaceae.